CGCUAUGCAUGCAGUCGAACGGGCGAAGGGGCUUCGGCCCCCUAGCUAGUGGCAGACGGCUGAGUAAUACGUAAGUGAUCUACCCCGGAGAGGGGGAUAAGCCGAAGAAAUCCGGUCUAAUACCCCGUACGCUCCCUCUAUUACGGUAGAGAGAGGAAAGUUCCGGCGCUCUGGGAGGAGCUUGCGGCCUAUCAGGUAGUUGGUGGGGUAAAAGCCUACCAAGCCGAAGACGGGUAACCGGUGUGAGAGCACGAUCGGUCAGAGGGGGACUGAGACACGGCCCCCACUCCUACGGGAGGCAGCAGCAGGGAAUCUUGCGCAAUGGGCGAAAGCCUGACGCAGCGACACCGCGUGGGGGAUGAAGGCUCUCGAGUUGUAAACCCCUUUUCUCGGGGAAGAGACAGGACGGUACCCGAGGAAUAAGGUUCGGCUAACUACGUGCCAGCAGCCGCGGUAAUACGUAGGAACCGAGCGUUGUCCGGAUUUACUGGGCGUAAAGUGCGCGUAGGCGGUUCGUUAAGUCUCAUGUGAAAUCUCCCGGCUCAACUGGGAGGGGUCAUGGGAUACUGGCAGACUUGAGUACAGCAGAGGGGAGUGGAAUUCCCGGAGUAGUGGUGGAAUGCGUAGAUACCGGGAGGAACACCAGAGGCGAAGGCGACUCCCUGGGCUGUGUCUGACGCUGAGGCGCGAAAGCGUGGGUAGCAAACAGGAUUAGAUACCCUGGUAGUCCACGCCCUAAACGAUGGAUACUAGGUAUGGGGGGUAUCGACCCCCUCCGUGCCGGAGCUUACGCGUUAAGUAUCCCGCCUGGGGAGUACGGCCGCAAGGCUAAAACUCAAAGGAAUUGACGGGGGCCCGCACAAGCAGCGGAGCGUGUGGUUUAAUUCGAUGAAAAGCGCAGACCUUACCAGGCUUGACAUGCUUUCUGAA
RNAcentral lists this ribosomal RNA (930 nucleotides) under uncultured bacterium. RNAcentral describes it as "bacterial SSU rRNA". It matches the Rfam family "Bacterial small subunit ribosomal RNA", at positions 47 to 997 of the family's 1533-position model. The record is from RNAcentral.